CAUUCUUUCCCUAAACGCCGCCUUUCCCUCUGGUUUUCUCACCUCUAAAAAUGACUUACUCUGACUACAUGGCCUCCCAGGUGCUUUUCUUCCAUAUAUUCAUC
Vicugna pacos (alpaca) is the source of this 104-nucleotide non-coding RNA. The record is from RefSeq and is a predicted model, not a curated record. Lineage: Eukaryota; Metazoa; Chordata; Mammalia; Artiodactyla; Camelidae.